RNAcentral lists this small RNA (114 nucleotides) under Proboscia inermis. RNAcentral's name for it is "partial Betaproteobacteria transfer-messenger RNA". Lineage: Eukaryota; Bacillariophyta; Melosirophyceae; Probosciales; Probosciaceae. The record is from RNAcentral.
CUAUGAUGCCAAAUUGGACCGGUAUGUUGCUUCCGAACAGCAAAUGAAUCAUGGUUCCGCUAUCAAUACCUCCGUCCGCCCUUCCGUAACAUCCAUGGGAAUACGCAAAGUUUA